CGAAGCGCCCGCGCGGAUUCCCUCGGGAUGAAGCGCGGAUGACUGAGUGGCGGACGGGUGAGUCACGCGUGGGCAACCUGCCCCGUGCCGGGGGACAACAGCCGGAAACGGCUGCUAAUACCGCAUGAUCCGGGAGGGCCGCAUGGCCCUGCCGGGAAAGCUCCGGCGGCACGGGAUGGGCCCGCGUCUGAUUAGUUUGUUGGCGGGGUAACGGCCCACCAAGACUGCGAUCAGCAGCCGGCCUGAGAGGGCGGCCGGCCACAUUGGGACUGAGACACGGCCCAGACUCCUGCGGGAGGCAGCAGUGGGGAAUAUUGCACAAUGGGGGAAACCCUGAUGCAGCGACGCCGCGUGGGCGACGAAGCGCUCCGGCGCGUAAAGCCCUGUCAGCAGGGAAGAAAAAAGACAGUACCUGACCAAGAAGCCCCGGCUAACUACGUGCCAGCAGCCGCGGUAAUACGUAGGGGGCAAGCGUUAUCCGGAUUCACUGGGCGUAAAGGGAGCGCAGGCGGCACGGCAAGUCUGGUGUGAAAGCCCGGGGCCCAACCCCGGGACUGCAUUGGAAACUGCCGGGCUGGAGUGCCGGAGGGGUAAGCGGAAUUCCUGGUGUAGCGGUGAAAUGCG
RNAcentral lists this ribosomal RNA (624 nucleotides) under uncultured bacterium. RNAcentral describes it as "bacterial SSU rRNA". It matches the Rfam family "Bacterial small subunit ribosomal RNA", at positions 63 to 690 of the family's 1533-position model. The record is from RNAcentral.